AACGAACGCUGGCGGCAUGCCUAACACAUGCAAGUCGAACGAGACCUUCGGGUCUAGUGGCGCACGGGUGCGUAACGCGUGGGAACCUGCCCUUAGGUUCGGAAUAACUCCCCGAAAGGGGUGCUAAUACCGGAUAAUGUCUUCGGACCAAAGAUUUAUCGCCUUUGGAUGGGCCCGCGUUGGAUUAGCUAGUUGGUAGGGUAAAAGCCUACCAAGGCGACGAUCCAUAGCUGGUCUGAGAGGAUGAUCAGCCACACUGGGACUGAGACACGGCCCAGACUCCUACGGGAGGCAGCAGUGGGGAAUAUUGGACAAGGGGCGAAAGCCUGAGCCAGCAAGGCCGCGUGAGUGAUGAAGGCCUUAGGGUGGUAAAGCUCUUUUACCCGGGAUGAUAAGGACAGUACCGGGAGAAGAAGCGCCGGCGAACUCCGU
Molecule: ribosomal RNA, 432 nt
Filed under: uncultured bacterium
Lineage: Bacteria
Description: partial 16S ribosomal RNA
Rfam family: Bacterial small subunit ribosomal RNA
Source: RNAcentral